AAGGCAAAUUAAGUAAAAUGAGGAAGAGAAGGACGAGGAAGGUGCAGACAAGGAGGAAGAAAGGGACAGAAGACAGGAUAGUAAAAAUAGAGAGAAACUGUGUGCUUCUGAUUCAAACAGAACCUUUUUUUCAUUGUCCUGCAUGAAUCACCAGAGUGGCCUUUAAGUGGGCUGUUGCAUAAAGGACAUUUAGUUUCAUGAGCUCACUGAAUAAUAACAGAGGCAGGGAAGAGUGCACCUCCGAGUGUGACAGUGUUUAAUUAACAAUACUUGAGCAUGUGUGAGAGAGAUAAUAUAGAGGUAAUAAAUAAACAUUCAGAAUGUAAAAAAAAAAAAUGCAGUAGGCCUAUGUAGGUUAUGUUUACACUCAGGCACCAGUUUAUUACAAGAAGGUACAACAAUCAGUACAUGGAAUUAGAUCGCCAGUACAAUGAGUCACAUGGCUGUGAUUUGCUAUAAAAAGUAGGCCGACAGGUUUCAAGGGGUUCCUUUACUACUAAAUAAAGUAAUAGGAUAAACUAAAUUAGGGGCCUGAGCAAUUUGGAGCAGGAUUAAGUUUAACUGAAUCUCCUGGGCACAUACAAACAAGACUAAGAGUCUACAGCCAUGCUAACGUCUCUGUGAUGCCGUAUGUAGGCAUAGCUAAAUGCUAACGUCAGCAUGCUAAUGUAGCAUCAAAGAUACUCUGGUAACAUAGCUGAAAAGGUUCAAGUUAAAUCCUGCUAAACGGGACAACGGUGCAACCUGCUGUUGUAAAAUGAUACCUGCAUUGAGCGGUAAAGCUACGGAGGAUUUGCCAUAAGUCUGGUGGGCUUUAAAAGGGUUGCAUAAGCCACAGAGGCCUAUCACAGAUAAAGUGAUGUUGAGUGAUGAAACAGACAGUGAGGAACUGGAGAAGAGCUGUUGGCAGGUUUGGGGUCGGUCAUGACACUCCCAUACGAAGUAGGAAAGAGUCAGAAAAAUAAAGCAAACACACACACACACACCACAGCUCACACAAUCCCCUCACAACAGACAUUUUCUCAAAAAAUGUUUCAGUCAUUGUGAACCAAACCUACAUAAUAAUUUUGUAUUUUUAGUAGCCUGUAAGGAUAUGUUACAUCAUUGAUCCCUGUAAUGAAAUUCUCAUUUUGCCACCUUCUGCCCUUCCUGUUUUGCUUCGCCUCCAGGGAGGUCAAAGGUCAGGGUCAGACGCACUCAAGUGCUCCUGGAGCUGGCACAGCUGCAGUGUCUUGCUGAAGAGCUGCCUCAGCGGGGUGAACGCAGCAGGGACCUGGCCUCUGGACAUCCAGAUGGAGGACGGUCUCUCUCACCAUGAAGCCAUCCUGCCGCCCUGCUGAUGUUAUAUAGACCUGUUCACUCCUACAUACCGGGAUGUUUUUGCUGUCAGUGGGCAAUGAAGCAGUAGGACGUGACUGCUUAACCUCACAUGGAAAAGACUAACUGUGCUUGUAAAAUAGUUGUGCUGCAUAUUAUUAUUUAAGAGUAACUUAACACCAGGCUAAAAAGCAAAUUUUCACUGCCCUCUCUGGUUGAAAGUUUCAAGUCUGUUGCGCCACACAGCAUGACUGAUGGAAUUGGUUGUGUGUGGCCAGAAGCAUACUCUGUUACACUUGUAACCACACCUGCAGUACACUAAUACGUCUGCAUUACUGCAGAAAGAUUUUCAGCUGCUAAAAUUGUUUUUUUUAAAAGCCAGAAGGAUUUUGAGUCCAGAGGGUGUCAAUCUGCAAAUUAAGAGUUAUUAGGAAAGUCACAUUUUAUCUUUGGCUAACACAAUUGGUAGAUGAUUGUUGUUGGUUAAAAUGUCAGUUCACCCAAAUUACAAAAAAUGUUUUCUCGCUUACCACUGGCCAUCAGCAUCUAGCCAUGCAGAUAUUUUUGGUUUUUAGCUUGCAGGUCCCUUCUUGACCUUGGAAACAGCAGGUUGACAAAAAAAAAAAAUCCUCAACAUGGUCAAACUUACUUUUUGUUUCCAAAGCUUUAAAUCGCAUCUCGUGGCCCUCGUUAGCAGAUGGAGUUGCUCAGUUGUCGUGGAGAUAGUUAGGUUGUUAUCACGUGACCCAAGUAUGGAAUUGCGGUCACAUGAUAACAGCUGGUCAUGUAUGAGUUCAUAAUCCCUGUCUCUAUCUGAAACAAGUACAUUGGACCUUCUUUGUAAAAGGUUUGGUUUUAUUUGCCCUGGUUUUGGAAUAUCCAUAUCUGGGAUUUUCUGCCUCCACCCCAAUACAAUGGAGGUGAAUGUUUGUUCCACUGAUGUGACCUUGUGACCUGAUGUGUUUUGUGUGAUAAUAAUUAUGUUCAGCAAGAUUUGUUUUGAUGUUGCAAGCGCCUACAAUAUUCAUUAUUGAUUACUGUUUGGAAUAUGGUACCGCCUCUUGGCUACAUUGUUGUGCUUCAUUAUGUCAACAGCACUCCUGUGUUUGUAACAUUGUUCCAUCCAUACCAAAACAAAGCUGAGCAUAUUGAUUUAUUAUAUUUUCAUUAACGGGAGCGCCACAGACAAAAUUCCAUUCACCUCCACUGUAUUGCUGUGGAGGCAGAAAUCUCGGACACUGAUAUCUUAAAAACCUGGGCAAACAACACCAAAACUGUCUGCAUGGCUAAAUAAUAGAGAUAAGUGAGAAAUCGUGUUUUUCACAGGUUUUUCACGAGCAGGCCAGCAGUUUGGUUGUUUAGCACUGCUCCUCUGUUCUCAGAAGUGAGAAAUGAUCACUCACUGAUAUUGGUUGAUAACGGUUUUAAAUUACAAAAUGUGGUCCAUUGUAAAACAGCACUCGAAGAAAUGACGCUACAAAAAAAAGUAUUGCCAAGUUAGAUUUACUGAAAUGUAAAUAUAUUUUGAACGAGUAAUAGGAAUUACGUACAGUAUGUAUAUCAAAGCACUGUUAGUCAAUAAAUGCAUUCAAAAGAGUAACUGUAUGAAACACAGAUGUAAUUAAGACAUUUCUGGCAACAGUAGUGGUUAAAGCUUAUUAGCAACAAUGAGACAAGUGUCUAAAGGUGCACCUUACAGAUCCAACAUGGAUCUCAACUAGAGGUAAACACGAGGGGUUUUUUUGUAACUGUACUGGAGUAAUUAAAUGCCACUGUGUGACAUCAGCUGA
This is a long non-coding RNA of Siniperca chuatsi (mandarin fish), 3107 nucleotides long. RefSeq lists it as uncharacterized. NCBI's taxonomy places the organism in Eukaryota, Metazoa, Chordata, Actinopteri, Centrarchiformes, Sinipercidae. The record is from RefSeq and is a predicted model, not a curated record. The transcript has 2 exons.